RNAcentral lists this microRNA (20 nucleotides) under Glycine max (soybean). Its description in RNAcentral is "gma-miR1534". The record is from miRBase by way of RNAcentral. Lineage: Eukaryota; Viridiplantae; Streptophyta; Magnoliopsida; Fabales; Fabaceae.
UAUUUUGGGUAAAUAGUCAU